Molecule: small nucleolar RNA, 68 nt
Organism: Manis pentadactyla (Chinese pangolin)
Lineage: Eukaryota; Metazoa; Chordata; Mammalia; Pholidota; Manidae
Product: small nucleolar RNA SNORD82
Exons: 1
Source: RefSeq, a predicted model, not a curated record
AGCACAAGUGAUGAGCAAACGAAGGGACUUAAUGCUGAGCCCUGAUGUCACACAGUGUGCUGAUGUGC